Molecule: ribosomal RNA, 333 nt
Filed under: Tweedieia laysani
Lineage: Eukaryota; Metazoa; Arthropoda; Malacostraca; Decapoda; Xanthidae
Description: partial 12S ribosomal RNA
Source: RNAcentral
CCUAAAUUAUUAGUAGAGUAUGUGCUUAAAACUUGAAGGAUUUGGCGGUGGCUUAGUCUUGUUAGAGGAACCUGUUUUUAAAUCGAUACUCCACGUAAAAUUUCACUCAUUUUGUUCAGUUUAUAUACCGUCAUUAGCAGAUAAUUUUGAAAAGAGGAAUUAUUAGAGUUUAUAAAGUAAAAAAAAUUAGAUCAAGGUGUAGCUUAUAAGUGAGUUAAAAUGGGUUACAAUAAAAUUUAUUUAUCACGGAGUAGUAAAAGAAAAAGCACUAUGAAGGGGGAUUUAAUUGUAAUGUAAAUUUAGCAAGUUUAAAAGAUAUAAGCUCUAAGCUAU